RNAcentral lists this transfer RNA (27 nucleotides) under Cafius pectoralis. RNAcentral describes it as "partial tRNA-Lys". Lineage: Eukaryota; Metazoa; Arthropoda; Insecta; Coleoptera; Staphylinidae. The record is from RNAcentral.
CAUUAGAUGACUGAAAGCAAGUAAUGG